UACGGGAGGCAGCAGUGGGGAAUAUUGCACAAUGGACGAAAGCCUGAUGCAGCUAUGCCGCGUGUAUGAAGAAGGCCUUAGGGUUGUAAAGUACUUUUCAUCGGGGAGGAAAAAACAAAACUAAUAAUUUUAUUUCUUGACGUUACCCGAAAAAGAAGCACCGGCUAACUCCGUGCCAGCAGCCGCGGUAAUACGGAGGGUGCUAGCGUUAAUCAGAAUUACUGGGCGUAAAGAGCACGUAGGUGGUUUUUUUAAGUCAGAUGUGAAAUCCCUGGGCUUAAACCUGGAACUGCAUUUUGAAACUGAAAUACUAGAGUAUCGUAGAGGGAGGUAGAAUUCUAGGUGUAGCGGUGAAAUGCGUAGAUAUCUGGAGGAAUACCUGUGGCGAAAGCGGCCUCCUAAACGAAUACUGACACUGAGGUGCGAAAAGCGUGGGGAGCAAACAGGGAUUAGAUACC
This 458-nucleotide ribosomal RNA is filed under the name uncultured bacterium. Its description in RNAcentral is "bacterial SSU rRNA". It matches the Rfam family "Bacterial small subunit ribosomal RNA", at positions 340 to 786 of the family's 1533-position model. The record is from RNAcentral.